This 786-nucleotide ribosomal RNA is filed under the name Cambarus striatus. RNAcentral's name for it is "eukaryotic LSU rRNA". The stretch from base 309 to 786 matches the Rfam family "Eukaryotic large subunit ribosomal RNA", at positions 665 to 926 of the family's 3401-position model. The record is from RNAcentral. Lineage: Eukaryota; Metazoa; Arthropoda; Malacostraca; Decapoda; Cambaridae.
GGGGACGUAACAAAGCGACCCAGGAAUACUUGGGCGUGCCUCCACCCACGCCGGCGUCGGCGGGCGUAUUUCGCCUCACAGUAGGUCGCCGCGACCCGUUGCUUUUGGGGACGUCGAAGGCCCGGACGGAUUGGUACCCUACCGGCUGGGGAUGCGGCUUCGGCUUCUCCUCUUGUCCGGUGGGCGAAACCGCCGGUGUCCUGGCUGCCCUGCGACGGUCGUAGAGACGAGCCCUCCCCCAUUCGUGGGGGGCGGCUCUCGCGGCGUGCAAAAGGUCGGUGAUCCACCCGACCCGUCUUGAAACACGGACCAAGGAGUCUAACAUGUGUGCGAGUCAGUGGGCGCACUAAACCCAGAGGCGUAAUGAAAGUGACACGGGUUCGGCUGUCGCCUCGUGUGGCAGCCGGACUCAGGGCCGAUCCCUCACCGGUUGCCCUCGCCUCUCUCCCGCGUCUCGGUAAGCCGGGUGAGCUAUUUUCCCCGGCCAAUGCUGCGGGGCUCGGGGGGGAGGCGGGGUUGCGAUGGUGUCCGUAAAAAAGAGCCUGCUGUUGCAGGGGGGCGCAGGCCCGGGACUUGCCAGGACGCCGCGAGACUGUCACUUUGCUGUGAGGCUCUAGGGCCGAUCAGCGGGUCAUGCGUGCAGUCGGCAAGUACCAUGAGCAGACAUGUUGGGACCCGAAAGAUGGUGAACUAUGCCUGGCCAGGAUGAAGCCAGAGGAAACUCUGGUGGAGGUCCGUAGCGAUUCUGACGUGCAAAUCGAUCGUCGGAGCUGGGUAUAGGGGCGA